CUGAGCUGCAGGAUAUGUUUAUAUAUUUUGGUGAUUAAUCCCUUGCCAGUUGCUUCAUUUGCAAAUAUUUUCUCUCAUUCUGUGGGUUGUCUUUUUGUCUUGUUUAUGCUUUCCUUUUUUAUGCAAAAACUUUUAAUUAUGCCCCUUUUGUUUAUUUUUGUUUUUUUAUUUUAUUUUUAUUUUUUUAUUUCCCCAAUACAUCAUUUUUUUUCUACUGUACAGCAUGGUGACCCAGUUACACAUGCAUGCAUACAUUAUUUUUUCUCACAUUAUCAUGCUCCAACAUAAGUGACUAGACAUAGUUCCCAGUGCUACAUAGAAGGGUCUCAUUGCCAAUCAUUUCAAAGGCAAUAGUCUGCAUCUAUUAACCCCAAGCUCCCAAUCUAUCCCAUUGUCAUUACUCUAGGUGGAUCUGAGAAAAUAUUGCUGUGGUUUACGUCAGAGAAUGUCUGGCCUAUGUUUUCCUCUAAGAGUUUUAUAGUAUCUGGUUUUACAUUUAGGUCUUUAAUCCAUUUUGAAUUUAAUUUUGUGUAUGGUGUUAGAGAGUGUUCUAAUUUCAUUCUUUUACAUGUAGCUGUCCAGUUUUCCCAGUGAAAAGCUGAAAGAAUUCCCAAUAAAAUCAGGAACAAGACAAGGAUGUAUGUAAGCUCUUGCCACUUCUGUUCAACAUAGUUUUGGAAGUCCUAGCCAUAGCAAUCAGAGAAGAAAAAGGAAUCCAAAUAAGAAAGGAAGAAGUAAAACAAUCAAUGUUUGCAGAUGAUGCGGUAUUAUACCUAGAAAACCCUAAAGACACUAUUAGUUAACUGUUAGAGCUCACCAAUGAAUUUGGUAAAGUUGCAGGAUAUAAAAUUAAUGCACAAAAAUUGACUGGAUUUUUCUAUACUAACAAUGAAAAAUGAGAAAAAGAAAUUAGGGAAACAACUCUACUUACUAUGGCAUCAAAAAGAAUAAAAUACCUAGGAAUAAACCUACUUAAAGAGAUGAAAGACCUGUACUCUGAAAGCUCCUAGAUGCUAAUGAAAGAAAUCAAAGAUGACACAAACAUAUUGAAAGAUAUACCAUGCUCUUGGAAUGGAAGAAUCAAUAUUGUCAAAAUGAUUAUAUUACCCAAAGAAAUCUAGAGAUUCAAUUCAAUCGCUAUCAAAUUACCAGUGGCAUUUUUCACAGAAAUAGUACAAAAUAUUGUAAAAUUUCUUUGGUAACACAACAAUCCCUUUAUGUACAAAUUUCCUCAUUAUGUUUACUUAGGGAACAUUCUACUAUAUUGGUAUGUCCUGCCAUGUAGCUAUAUGCUACAUUCAGAAAAUUUAUAUGGACAUGCCAUUUUAAAAUUGAUUUAUUCAUAAUGAAUUAAAUAAAAUUAUUUGAUAAACAUAUAUCUUCCUAUAUUAUGAUUGAAAAACAAACCUGAACUCUCUGGUUAUACUGCUUGGAUUUGAAUGCGACUGUGGACAAAUGUCUUUACUUUUCAAAUGCCUCAUUUUUUACAUUUGUAAAAUCAGAAUAAUAGUAGAAGUAUCUCACAGGACUGCCCAAGAAUAAAAUGUGUAAAAACACAUAUAAGUCUUAGAACUCAUGUGACAUUGUGCAUGAGGCCUCAGUAGGAAAUCUGUAAAUAUUAGGUUACUACUGCUACUGGUACUACAUUUUAUUAGUCUUAUUUUUGUCUUCCAUUUUUACUUGAGAUUAAAGUUUCUUUUUAAUCAUUCUUUUGAUAAAAAUUUGCAAUUCACAAUCUGAUAUUAAUACAUAGUUUUAUCCAUCACACAUGGACCUGGAAGGGCAGGGCAAAAUGGGAAAGGACGAUGCCCUAGGAAGAGGGGAGAUAACCACAAAAGAACAAGAAAGGGGUAAUGCAGGUCUCUGUGGAGUACAGUAGAAUGGCCCUAGUUGAAGGGAGCCCAGAAUAAAACAGAAAUAAUGGUCAAGAUAUGGGUGGGUUUAAAAUUAGGUGCAGAAUGGGUUUCACAAUAAAAAAGUUAGUAUUGCAUAACAUUAUAAAAGUUUCAUAAAGAUUGCACUUAGCAUGGAUUAUGUAUGUAUAUGAGGUGUGAAUGCAAAUGCUAGAUGUUAAGUGAGAAAAUCAGGAGGAACAGAUCAUUUGGUUAAAAAGAGGAGGAUUUACAGAUCCUGGGCAGAGACUUUAAAGGAAAUUAAAAGGAGAAGCAAGUCUCUGACAAUUAUAUAGCUACUGCCUGAUUUAGUUACUGCUUUGACUAGCAAUUAGAUAAAAACCUUACAUUUUAGUCAAGUAACUUUGUUGACCUAAGGGCUGCUUCACUGACUUCUGUUUAAUAAAGGAGAUAUUAAGAGAGCUACAGGACAAAGGUUUUCUGGAAGGAGACUCCAAGUCCUUAGUGUUGGUCACAACAAAUGCACCCAGAAGGAGACCACUGUCUUAUCACACUCCAUCUAUUUUGUUCAUUUGUAAGCUUUGUCAGUAUCGAAUUUCCUAAAAUUUCUCUUAGCCAAAAUUCAUACUUCUUUUUCUACUUAAAAUUUGUCUAGGACCAUUUCUUCCCUCCAUCCUUCAAGUUAUAAAUUCAAUCUGAAUGUAAUGAAAUGCAGAAUAUAAAUCGUCUCUGGUUCUUUAUUUGAAAACCAUAUCACAGCUGGAAUACGUUUAAGACUAUGAGUCUAUAGUUCUCUGGAAAAGCUGAAAUUUAAAAUUAAACAAGUUAUUUUCAGUUAAACUGUUGAGAAAGUGGCUGCCUGAGAGUGUGUCCCUGGUGCUUUCAUCUCCCAAUUUUAGUAGCCUUUCCUAGGAUGAGCACCAGGUUGGUGACUGGACAGCUCAGAAAAUGUGCAAGG
RNAcentral lists this long non-coding RNA (2811 nucleotides) under Sus scrofa (pig). RNAcentral's name for it is "lncRNA (ENSSSCG00055026148.1)". Lineage: Eukaryota; Metazoa; Chordata; Mammalia; Artiodactyla; Suidae. The record is from RNAcentral.